AUUGAACGCUGGCGGCAUGCUUUACACAUGCAAGUCGAACGGUAACAGGCCGCAAGGUGCUGACGAGUGGCGAACGGGUGAGUAAUGCAUCGGAACGUGCCCAGUCGGGGGGGAUAACGCAGCGAAAGUUGUGAUAAUACCGCAUACGAUCUAUGGAUGAAAGCGGGGGACCGUAAGGCCUCGCGAGAUUGGAGCGGCCGAUGUCAGAUGAGGUAGUUGGUGGGGUAAAGGCUCACCAAGCCAACGAUCUGUAGCUGGUCUGAUAGGACGACCAGCCACACUGGGACUGAGACACGGCCCAGACUCCUACGGGAGGCAGCAGUGGGGAAUUUUGGACAAUGGGCGCAAGCCUGAUCCAGCAAUGCCGCGUGCAGGAAGAAGGCCUUCGGGUUGUAAACUGCUUUUGUACGGAACGAAAAGGUUUGGGUUAAUACCCUGGGCCGAUGACGGUACCGUAAGAAUAAGCACCGGCUAACUACGUGCCAGCCGCCGCCGUAA
This 498-nucleotide ribosomal RNA is filed under the name uncultured bacterium. RNAcentral describes it as "partial 16S ribosomal RNA". It matches the Rfam family "Bacterial small subunit ribosomal RNA", at positions 30 to 523 of the family's 1533-position model. The record is from RNAcentral.